UUGGAUCGUUGCUUCGUGAGAGCAGAUCGCUGAUCAAGAAGGGAGGUCUUAGCCCUAGCCUCGACCUUUCCUCUUCGACGCCGGCUUGGAUCUACUGUCUUGUGUUCUAGCUUCCAUUUCGCACACGUAGGUUGUGCUGUUCUGGUGGUGGACAGCAGCUCGAUCCGGGCAGAGAGGAGGCUCUGUUCCUUUUGAUUGAGUGCUGUGGAUUAGUAUGCAUGGUUGUGAGCUAGAGGUACUAUCUUGUGGAUGUGAUCUUAGGUUCCAACAGCAGCUACCCUAACCGGCAGCUACACCUUUGGUUGUGAUCUAUUGGUGAUCACCUUGGAUUCGAGGAGUCUGAUUUGAG
Zingiber officinale is the source of this 349-nucleotide long non-coding RNA. RefSeq lists it as uncharacterized. NCBI's taxonomy places the organism in Eukaryota, Viridiplantae, Streptophyta, Magnoliopsida, Zingiberales, Zingiberaceae. The record is from RefSeq and is a predicted model, not a curated record. The transcript is spliced from 3 exons.